UUUUUUUCCAGCUCAAUUUCUCGCGCGGAUUGUCCUUUAUCCGUUUUUUUUCACGUCGAAGACACGAAGGAAAGGAAUGGAGGCAAAUAAAAGGGAAGAGAUGAAAUGCGAAAGGAAACUGUGACAAAUCAAGUCAAGGUCAAUUGAAACAAAGAAAACAAGCACACGUGCGAUGACGCGUUUAUAUUCCCUUUAAUAUCUUUUAAUUGAAUUUCUUAUAAACAACCAAAAUUAUUUCUUUUAUAAUAAAUACAGGGUGAUUCGUAUAAAGUGAUCGAUUUAAUUAAUAUUAUCAAAAUUUAAAGAUAUAUAUGAAACAGUAACUUGUAUAUAUAAUCAACAUAAUCUAUACAAAGAACAUUAUAAUAUAUGGAGACGAUUAUUUAAUGAGUGGGGGGAAGUCUUGAGGAGAUUUCGAGGUCAACUUAACUUUUUUUUAUAUGAUAUGCUAUAUUUUUCAUUAUAUUAUAGCAUGGUAGUCCUUUUUAAGAUAAAUUCAAUAUUCUAUUACAUAAUGUCAUUCGAGAGCAGUUAAUAUCACAAGUAAAAUAAAGUGUAAAUGUAUAAAGUGUAAA
Molecule: long non-coding RNA, 575 nt
Organism: Monomorium pharaonis (pharaoh ant)
Lineage: Eukaryota; Metazoa; Arthropoda; Insecta; Hymenoptera; Formicidae
Exons: 2
Source: RefSeq, a predicted model, not a curated record